Molecule: ribosomal RNA, 253 nt
Filed under: uncultured bacterium
Lineage: Bacteria
Description: partial 16S ribosomal RNA
Rfam family: Bacterial small subunit ribosomal RNA
Source: RNAcentral
GACGUAGGGCGCGAGCGUUGUCCGGAUUUAUUGGGCGUAAAGAGCUCGUAGGCGGCUUGUUGCGUCGACCGUGAAAACCCGGGGCUCAACUUCGGGCUUGCGGUCGAUACGGGCGGGCUAGAGUUCGGUAGGGGAGACUGGAAUUCCUGGUGUAGCGGUGAAAUGCGCAGAUAUCAGGAGGAACACCGGUGGCGAAGGCGGGUCUCUGGGCCGAUACUGACGCUGAGGAUCGAAAGCGUGGGGAGCGAACAGG